GGGCGAUUAGCUCAGCGGUAGUAGCGCUUCCUUCACACGGAAGAGGUCACUGGUUCGAACCCAGUAUCGCCCA
Molecule: transfer RNA, 73 nt
Filed under: Fretibacterium fastidiosum
Lineage: Bacteria; Thermotogati; Synergistota; Synergistia; Synergistales; Aminobacteriaceae
Also listed under: 1 other name
Description: Synergistetes bacterium SGP1 tRNA
Rfam family: tRNA
About the family: Transfer RNA (tRNA) molecules are approximately 80 nucleotides in length.
Source: Rfam by way of RNAcentral